GGGUUCCGCUCUGUCUCAGUGUUGGAAGCCACUUCCUCACUCACUGGAACAUGAAGUGAACCAAGAGCCGCCUUAAACAUUCACUUUCUCUGAUCGAAACAAAAAAAAAAAAAAAAGAGAGAGAAGAAAUCAUGCUUCUCAGGAGCUCUUCCACCCCCAUAAUGAAGUCAUGGCCUCCCCCAUACGCCAAGGACUCCUCGCCCGAGCACGACCUUCACCUCCCGAACCUCACGCGGACCCGAUCGGUCUCCCUGACCUCGUCGCCAUCACUGUCGCCAUCGCCCUUCCACUCUCCUACUCCCUCUGAGGAGUCGCCAUCUUCCAGUAAAAGCUCGAACAAGUCGAUAAAGAAGAACCCCCACCAACUUCCUCAGAGUCCCGGAAAACCCGCCGGAUCAUUGGGUAAGGAUGCCGAGGAACCGGCUGAGCUGAAGCUUGAUGAUCCGAUAAAGAGACUGCUCUCGAGUUCCGGACUUGGUGGGGUGGAUGAUGAAGAGGGCUGCGACCGGGCAAGGGAGGAUGGCAGGCCGCAGACUCUGGUGGUUGGAGGUUCCCAUGGGAAUGGUGGGGUUGGUGGGAUUUGUGGCGGCGGCGGGCGAGGGUCGGGCAGUGGAGGUGAUGGCGGUGGUGGCGAUGGAGGGUUUGGGUUUUCGGGGAGUGACAGGGGCCCAGGGAGUGAUAGCACCGACGCGUAUUACCGGAAGAUGAUCGAAGCUGACCCCAACAACGCGCUUUUGCUCGGGAACUAUGCCAAGUUCUUGAAAGAGGUUAGGGGAGAUCUUGACAAAGCCGAGGAGUACUGUGGCAGGGCGAUUCUUGCCAACCCGAACGAUGCUAAUGUGCUCUCUCUCUAUGCUGAUCUUAUAUGGCAGACGCAGAAGGACCCUCACAGAGCCGAAAGUUACUAUGAUCGAGCGGUUAAAACUGCUCCUGAUGAUUGGUAAAGAUUGGCCUCAAACCCACCUGCCUAUCGUCUUGGCUGUUCCUACCAUAACCAGACUACGUGCUUGGAUCAUAUGCCAAAUUCCUCUGGGAUGUCGAUGAAGAUGAAGAGGAAGAGGAAGAGCAGAAUUCAAGGGAUUAUCGGCAUGACCACCGGAGCCCUCAUGCUCCGCCAAAUUUUGUCCAAGGAUCUCCCCACCACCCGAUCACAGCUGCUUCUUAAAUAUAAUACCCGUUACGGCCCGUACCGAAUACGUGGAACUAAGUUUUAUAUGCUAGCCGAGCUAAUAGUAACACCGUAGGGGUAAAAAACAGAGGAUAGGAACUUCCCUGUCUUUGUAGUUUUGGCUUCUGACAGGAACUUUGCCCUAAUGUAUAUCUAUAUCUAUCUACCUCGGAAUAAUGGAAGGGAAGCCAUACUUUCAUCCUGUACAGCUUCAACUUGGCAAAUAUUGUUCAAACUAGUGAUAUGAGCACAACCAAAACAAAA
Punica granatum (pomegranate) is the source of this 1432-nucleotide non-coding RNA. The record is from RefSeq and is a predicted model, not a curated record. Lineage: Eukaryota; Viridiplantae; Streptophyta; Magnoliopsida; Myrtales; Lythraceae.